RNAcentral lists this ribosomal RNA (253 nucleotides) under uncultured bacterium. RNAcentral describes it as "partial 16S ribosomal RNA". It matches the Rfam family "Bacterial small subunit ribosomal RNA", at positions 524 to 776 of the family's 1533-position model. The record is from RNAcentral.
UACGUAGGGUGCGAGCGUUAAUCGGAAUUACUGGGCAUAAAGCGUGCGCAGGCGGUUCGUUGUGUCGGCGGUGAAAGCCCCGGGCUCAACCUGGGAAUGGCCGUUGAAACUGGCGAACUGGAGUGUGGCAGAGGGGGGUGGAAUUCCGCGUGUAGCAGUGAAAUGCGUAGGGAUGCGGAGGAACACCGAUGGCGAAGGCAGCCCCCUGGGCUGACACUGACGCUCAGGCACGAAAGCGUGGGGAGCAAACAGG